ACUGUAGUGUUUCCUCGUUGGGGAGGAGAGUAGAGCUGUGGGUUGUGUUUGGAGGAGGGACUUCAUCAUUUAAAGAAGUCAGAAGUUCCUGGUUAGCCAGUAAAGAAAGACAGUCAGUGGUAAACCAUCAGAGUGUCAGCAUGAAAGUCUCUCACGCUUUGACCUGCUUCUUCCUCCUCUUCUCUCUGCAGGAUGGAAACACCGGUAUCGUCAGUGCCCAACUCACUGUCUAUUCACGAACUGAAGGAGAAGAUUUCAGAGUUAGAUGUUUCUUUUCUUCUCGUGGAGCCUGGAAGUUCUUCUGUAAGGAAACAUGUCGACAAAAAGACAUUCUCAUUGAAACAAAUGGUGACUCAGCUCAGAGAGGCAGAUACAGGAUGGGUUAUGAAGAUGGAUAUUAUUUGGUGACCAUCUCUCAGCUGACCAAGUCUGACUCAGGACGGUACAGGUGUGGUAAGGGUUCAUCUUUGUCGUCAGCUUCAUACAAGUAUAUUGAAGUCAUUGUUGUUGAUGCAAAACUUGUUGGUGGUCCUCCUGCAGAGAAAACAAUCGAUGCUAGAACUGGAGGAAAUAUUCUAGUUGAAUGCUCCUUUCCUCUCUCUGGGAGAGAGAUGUACUUCUGCAAGGAAGAAUGUAGAAGAGGCAUUCUGGUUGAAAUGACUUCCAAAGAUACUGAAAAAGGCAGAUACAGGAUCAGUUAUGUUAAACGAUCUCAAAAUGAAGGAUUUGUUUAUGUGAGCAUCAAACAACUGACCCAGUCUGACUCAGGACGGUACAGGUGUGGUCUGGACAGAACUUCCUCUGAACAUCUCUACCAGAGGUUUAGACUCACCGUCACUGAUGCUCUGACCUCUUCUACUCCUUCAUCAUCCGUCCCCUCAGCAUCCUCACCAACAACAAACCAAAGUGAAAGCUCCCUGACUACAGCAGCCUCCUCUAACACCACCGAGCAGCCUGAAACAGCUCCAGGUGUGGUCCUGUAUGUGCGUCUGACUCUGACCGCCCUGUUCAUCGUGUCGUCACUCUCUGUGCUGGUAUUCUGCAGGAAGAGGAUCUGUAAAGCCAAAGGUGAGGAACCAGGUAACACACAUUCCUUUCUCACUAGGUUUGAACUGCCUGAUCUUUCUCCACAUGUACAACAACCUUUCAAACAGACUCACCAUUCAAAGUUUAAAUACUCGCAAAUAACAGAACAGAACUUCCUGAACACGACAAACAACGACAUACAGGAAUCUGACAAAGACUAAACAGAAUACCAGGACUUAAAUACAAGCAGAACUAAUGAGGGGACAAAGUGCAGGUUUUCAGGAGGACAGGAGGCAGAAACAGGCAUGACACGGGUAGAAAACUUUUCCAAAUAAAACAGGAAACAGAUAAACAACACUGGGAUGAUGAGGGUUGAUGAAGGUCUUCAGAAUCUGUUUUUGUCUCCAUUUGACUGAGCAAGAUGUUGCUCCAGUGUAGUGUCAUGAUCUAAACGUACUGCUGUGUCUUUCAGAACCUCCUGUGGAAACACAAUAUGGUUUUGUCACAGAGACCAACCGAGUGCACAAGGAUAUCGGCGAGGCCAGCCAGAGCAGAUCUGCUCCUGUGGAAAUCUCCUCAGUUUACACUCACCCCAAAUAUACACGACCAAAUGGAGAUGAAACCGAUGAUAACUAAAGCAUUAUAACUGCUUCUAAUUCAUAAAAUACAUGAAGGGGUAUUUAACUCUGGGCUCAUAAAACAGUAGCUUUAAAAAGCUGAGAUAAAUCACAAACUUUAUCCCCGGUCCCAGACCCACACAAGAAUGCUAGUGGGGGAACGUGUUCUACAUCUGUUGCUUUUUGAUCCAUAAUAACUUUCGUUAAAUGUCAUUGACUCGGAUAUCAGAUAAGUGUAAAUGUGACAAAUGGCCCAACCAAAGAAAAAGGAAUGAAGUUGUUUUUGGUUGUUGUCAAUUCAGACACAACA
Molecule: RNA transcript, 1953 nt
Organism: Eleginops maclovinus (Patagonian blennie)
Lineage: Eukaryota; Metazoa; Chordata; Actinopteri; Perciformes; Eleginopidae
Gene name: polymeric immunoglobulin receptor-like
Exons: 6
Source: RefSeq, a predicted model, not a curated record